UGCCGAGGGUGCAAGCGUUGUUCGGAAUUACUGGGCGUAAAGCGCACGUAGGCGGCUUUGUAAGUUAGAGGUGAAAGCCCGGGGCUCAACUCCGGAAUUGCCUUUAAGACUGCAUCGCUAGAAUUGUGGAGAGGUAAGUGGAAUUCCGAGUGUAGAGGUGAAAUUCGUAGAUAUUGGGAAGAACACCGGUGGCGAAGGCGGCGACCUGGUCCUUGACUGACGCUGAGGCGCGAAAGCGUGGGGAGCAAACAGG
RNAcentral lists this ribosomal RNA (253 nucleotides) under uncultured bacterium. Its description in RNAcentral is "partial 16S ribosomal RNA". It matches the Rfam family "Bacterial small subunit ribosomal RNA", at positions 524 to 776 of the family's 1533-position model. The record is from RNAcentral.